CUCACACGGCUGCAGCCGGCGCCGCUGCCACUCCCGGGAGCAUGAAGGACCGAACCCAGGAGCUCCGCACGGCCAAGGACAGCGAUGAUGAUGAUGAUGUCGCUGUCACCGUGGACCGAGACCGCUUCAUGGAUGAGUUCUUUGAGCAGGUGGAGGAGAUUCGAGGCUUCAUUGACAAGAUCGCAGAGAACGUGGAGGAGGUGAAGCGGAAGCACAGUGCCAUCCUGGCAUCCCCCAACCCCGAUGAGAAGACGAAGGAGGAGCUGGAAGAACUCAUGUCCGACAUAAAGAAGACAGCAAACAAAGUUCGUUCCAAGUUAAAGAGCAUCGAGCAGUCCAUCGAGCAAGAGGAAGGCCUGAACCGCUCCUCCGCUGACCUGAGGAUCCGGAAGACACAGGUGCGGCCACGGAGUCUAGGAUGGGCGGGCACCUGAGUCUCUGGGUCGGUCCCCGCAGGGCCUGACCCCUGCACCUCCAUCUCGGGCCCCCAGCACUCCACGCUGUCCAGAAAGUUUGUGGAGGUCAUGUCGGAGUACAACGCCACGCAGUCCGACUACCGCGAGCGCUG
RNAcentral lists this small RNA (568 nucleotides) under Pan troglodytes (chimpanzee). RNAcentral's name for it is "retained intron". Lineage: Eukaryota; Metazoa; Chordata; Mammalia; Primates; Hominidae. The record is from RNAcentral.